GGGGUGUUAGCUCAGUUGGUUCAGAGCACUACCUCGACAAGGUAGGGGUCAUCAGUUCGAGCCUGAUACGCCCCACCA
This 78-nucleotide transfer RNA is filed under the name Hymenobacter rigui. RNAcentral describes it as "tRNA-Val". Lineage: Bacteria; Pseudomonadati; Bacteroidota; Cytophagia; Cytophagales; Hymenobacteraceae. The record is from RNAcentral.